AGAGUGAACGCUGGCGGCAGGCCUAACACAUGCAAGUCGAACGGCAGCACAGUAAGAGCUUGCUCUUAUGGGUGGCGAGUGGCGGACGGGUGAGGAAUACAUCGGAAUCUGCCUAUUUGUGGGGGAUAACGUAGGGAAACUUACGCUAAUACCGCAUACGACCUACGGGUGAAAGCGGAGGACCUUCGGGCUUCGCGCAGAUAGAUGAGCCGAUGUCGGAUUAGCUAGUUGGUGGGGUAAAGGCUCACCAAGGCAACGAUCCUUAGCUGGUCUGAGAGGAUGAUCAGCCACACUGGGACUGAGACACGGCCCAGACU
RNAcentral lists this ribosomal RNA (317 nucleotides) under uncultured soil bacterium. RNAcentral's name for it is "bacterial SSU rRNA". It matches the Rfam family "Bacterial small subunit ribosomal RNA", at positions 26 to 337 of the family's 1533-position model. The record is from RNAcentral.